UGGGGAAUAUUGCACAAUGGGCGAAAGCCUGAUGCAGCAACGCCGCGUGAGUGAUGAAGGCCUUCGGGUUGUAAAGCUCUGUCUUUUGGGACGAUAAUGACGGUACCAAAGGAGGAAGCCACGGCUAACUACGUGCCAGCAGCCGCGGUAAUACGUAGGUGGCAAGCGUUGUCCGGAUUUACUGGGCGUAAAGGAUGCGUAGGCGGAUUUUUAAGUGAGAUGUGAAAACCCUAAGGCUUAACUUGGGGACUGCAUUUCAUACUGGAAAUCUAGAGUGCGGGAGAGGAGAAUGGAAUUCCUAGUGUAGCGGUGAAAUGCGUAGAGAUUAGGAAGAACACCAGUGGCGAAGGCGAUUCUCUGGACCGUAACUGACGCUGAGGCAUGAAAGCGUGGGUAGCAAACAGGAUUAGAUACCCUGGUAGUCCACGCCGUAAACGAUGAGUACUAGGUGUAGGAGGUAUCGACCCCUUCUGUGCCGCAGUUAACACAAUAAGUACUCCGCCUGGGAAGUACGAUCGCAAGAUUAAAAAGCUCAAAUGAAUUGACGGGGGUCAUAGCUGUUUUCCU
This 567-nucleotide ribosomal RNA is filed under the name uncultured bacterium. Its description in RNAcentral is "partial 16S ribosomal RNA". It matches the Rfam family "Bacterial small subunit ribosomal RNA", at positions 355 to 939 of the family's 1533-position model. The record is from RNAcentral.